Non-coding RNA from Heterocephalus glaber (naked mole-rat), 1312 nucleotides. The record is from RefSeq and is a predicted model, not a curated record. Lineage: Eukaryota; Metazoa; Chordata; Mammalia; Rodentia; Bathyergidae.
UACCAAUUUAGCUCUGAGGAUACUUGGAUUGUCCCAUGUAUUUGUAAAACGGGGCAAAUUUGCGCCUUGCUGGGCCAAAGGAGGGAUUCUUUUUCAAAUCUUUGUACCAGAUCCUAGAAUAAACUUGUUUCUCGGCUCAGUUCCUUUUAGUUUUUCUAUGUAGGAGAAUUGAUCAACUUUAAAUCUAGUUCCCCUCUUCUUGGACAAACUGUUUUCUCUACACAUUACCCAUUUCCCUCUUUUCCAUACAGUUUCUCCGCUCUGUACUGACUGUGGUUUUCUCUUUAAAACAGUAAUUUUUAAAUCCUUCCCACCCUACUGUAAUAGGCGGUGUCACGUAUCACUUCUUAGCCUCAGCGUCCGGAGAUCCCGAAAGGGAGAAUUUCAAGUCAGAUAGAAUUUUACAUAUAUCAUUUCUUUGGAACCUUCAGCCUUCUGCAUCCCGACAUCAUGACCGCAGUUUCAACACAGUUGUUCUUAGUGGUCAUUUCACUACUUCUGAUUCUGCCUGUUGUUGAAGCAGUAGAAGCUGGAGAUGCAAUUGCUCUCUUGUUAGGUGUGGUUCUCAGCAUUACAGGCAUUUGUGCUUGCUUAGGGGUGUAUGCACGAAAGAGAAAUGGACAAAUAUGACUUUUAAGGGCCUCCUGAUGCAAACUCCACCCUGAAAACCUUUGUACUACUGAGACCCAACCUGAGCUUUGGUCUCUAAAGUUACCAAGAAAUAGUCAGUAGGGUUUUUCACAUUCUUGGUUGUUUCUGAUAGAAGGUAAACAAAUCAGUAUUUGUUAAGUGGGGAAAAAUGUUUUCUUUAUAACAAAUAAUGCACUGAAAAAUGCAGCCAAUAGUUUGUUACUUAGAAAGCAGGUCAAAGAUUUAACAUGGCUUUAAAAUGGAUAAGUAAUAUUUCAUAGUUUCAGAAUUACUAGAGCACAUGAAUUAGGACUAAAGAAGCUUUUGCCCAGAAUUUCCCAAAUCAUCAGUGUUUAGCUCCAAUCACUGCCUCCUGAAAUGUUGAGUCUUUUUCUUCAUGUUUUCAGAUUUUUAUUUUAUUUUGCAAGUUAAUAUUGUACUUAGACAUCAAACAGCCAAAAAUUGAAAUUUUUAUCUCUGGGGGAGAAAGUUUAGAAAAAGAAUAUAUUCAACUUAUCUAAUAUUGGAAUGAAGAAAAGAUUUAAUUUUUUUUUUACAAAACCCUUUAUAUUGACAAUAAAAUGGAAAAAUAAUUUACUGUAAUAAUACCUUUAAUAUUGAGUGAAAUCAAUAUUCACUGAGAAGUACAGUACUAUAUUAAAUAUAAAUCAUGUUGUAAGUG